UCCCGAAUAGUUCAGUGGUAGCAACGUGCGGCUUUGAUCCGCAAGGCGGUUGUUCAAUUCAAUCUUCGGGAG
This 72-nucleotide transfer RNA is filed under the name Candidatus Roizmanbacteria bacterium. RNAcentral's name for it is "tRNA-Gln". It matches the Rfam family "tRNA". From Rfam's summary of the family: Transfer RNA (tRNA) molecules are approximately 80 nucleotides in length. Their secondary structure includes four short double-helical elements and three loops (D, anti-codon, and T loops). Lineage: Bacteria; Candidatus Roizmaniibacteriota. The record is from RNAcentral.